CGGAUUUACUGGGCGUAAAGCGUGUUCAGGCGGCCUGGCAAGUCGGGCAUGAAAUCUCUCGGCUCAACCGAGAGAGGCUGUCCGAUACUGCUGGGCUUGAGGACGGUAGAGGGUGGUGGAAUUCCGCGUGUAGUGGUGAAAUGCGUAGAUAUGCGGAGGAACACCAGUGGCGAAGGCGGCCACCUGGACCGUCCCUGACGCUCAAACACGAAAGCUAGGGUAGCGAACGGG
RNAcentral lists this ribosomal RNA (231 nucleotides) under uncultured bacterium. Its description in RNAcentral is "partial 16S ribosomal RNA". It matches the Rfam family "Bacterial small subunit ribosomal RNA", at positions 546 to 776 of the family's 1533-position model. The record is from RNAcentral.